CUCACUCCUUCCCUCAGGAAACCUGUUCGAAACCUGUUCGACUGUCUUGCGGGUCGGGACAGCCACUCAUUGGAAUGACCUUAUAGGCACAGAUUGUCUGAAAGGAGGCCAUUAGCAAAAGCUGAAGGAGCUAGUUUUUGUGGGAUUUGGAGGCACCGGAUGGCUCUUGGUCACAGAAUGAAUAGGAACACUGCCUUACUCAGUUCCUAGAGGACCCUGGAACUUGGAUUCCUUGAACUGCUAUGAUAGAAGCCUUGGGAUUAAAAGGACCCGUGGAAAAGGUGAAGUUGCUUGGAGAACUGCCCAGUUGAAGAUGGUGUCAUUCCUCCACAAGUAUCCGUGUCUCUCCCUUUGGAGCGGCUACUCCAUACUGCCAUGCAUGCAGGCUGUAUGCCAGGCCUGGACACCAGUGAGCCGCAUGCAGGGAUCGCUAUGAAGAGAAACUUCUUCUAAAGAAGAUGCUGACAGC
This is a long non-coding RNA of Tupaia belangeri chinensis (Chinese tree shrew), 469 nucleotides long. RefSeq lists it as uncharacterized. The record is from RefSeq and is a predicted model, not a curated record. Lineage: Eukaryota; Metazoa; Chordata; Mammalia; Scandentia; Tupaiidae. The transcript is spliced from 3 exons.